UGGGGAAUCUUGCACAAUGGGGGCAACCCUGAUGCAGCGACGCCGCGUGAGCGAUGAAGCCCUUCGGGGCGUAAAGCUCUUUCGACCGGAACGAUAAUGACGGUACCGGGAGAAGAAGCUGCGGCUAACUACGUGCCAGCAGCCGCGGUAAUACGUAGGCAGCAAGCGUUGUUCGGAGUUACUGGGCGUAAAGAGUGCGUAGGCGGUUUUCUAAGUUCGGUGUGGAAUCUCCCGGCUUAACUGGGAGGGUGCGCCGAAGACUGGGAAGCUGGAGUGUGGUAAAGGCAGGCGGAACUCCUGAUGUAGCGGUGAAAUGCGUAGAUAUCGGGAGGAACACCGGCGGUGUAGACGGCUUGCUAGACCAUAACUGACGCUGAGGCACGAAAGCGUGGGUAGCAAACA
This 402-nucleotide ribosomal RNA is filed under the name uncultured bacterium. RNAcentral's name for it is "bacterial SSU rRNA". It matches the Rfam family "Bacterial small subunit ribosomal RNA", at positions 355 to 774 of the family's 1533-position model. The record is from RNAcentral.